CACCAGGCCUGGGGACAGGGGCCGGCCACUGGGCCGGCCGCGAGGAGCUGUCCUCAUGGCGGCCGGGUCCAGCCAUAGCCCGGCAGCGCAGUGCAGUGGGCAGCCUGCCCCACCCGCCUGCUCCCCGUGCUGCCUCAGGCCUCAGGCCCUCAGCCAGAGCACCCUCCAAGGUCCCCCAGCCCAGCCACGCGGCCUCCUUGCGGCCCGAGUCACACCCAGGGCCUAGCCUGUCCCAUACCCUGUGCCAGCAGCGCCCCCUGCUGGCUCCGCAGCCCUCCGACUCGGCUGGCUGCACCGCCUCAGGGAAGCCCUCUGGGAUCUGCCUGCCCUGCUCUCUGGAGUGAGGACCCUCCCAGCACCGAGAUGGGGAGUUUGUGCAACUCCCACUGGGUCGGCCCAGACUUGCCUCCGUUUUUCCCCCGCAAGGGGAAUGUGUUAGGUAUUUCGCUUAUUUCGGUAUCUCCAAAACUCUUAGCACAAAAUCAGGCACAUAGGAGGCCUUGAAAAGAUCCUUGUUGGUUGACGUAUUGCUGAGUGAGUGAGCUGUGAUGGCGGCACAGGCCCUGGUCCUCAGAGCCUGAGGGAGUGUGUGCACGUGUGCAUGCAUGUGCGUGUAUGUGGGAUGUGCGUGUGUCUUUGUGUGCAUAUGUGAUGUGUGUGGUGUGUAUGUGGUGUAUGUAGGUGUGUGGUGUGUGUGGUGUGUGUGUGCUGUGUGGUGUGUGUAGGUGUGUGCUGUGUGUAGGUGUGUGCUGUAUGUGUGCUGUAUGUGUGGUGUGUGGUGUGUGUAGGUGUGUGAUGUGUGUGGUGUGUGGUGUGUGUGUAGGUGUGUGUUAUGUGUAGGUGUGUGGUGUCUGUGGUGUGUGUAUAGGUGUGUGGUGUGUGGUGUGUGUAGGUGUGUGGUGUGUGUAAGUGUGUGUGCUGUGUGGUGUGUGUGUGCUGUGUGGUGUGUGUAGGUGUGUGCUGUAUGUGUGGUGUGUGGUGUGUGGUUGUGUGGUGUGUGUGUGGUGUAUGUAGGUGUGUGCUGUGUGCUGUGUGUUGGUGUGUGGUGUGUGUGCUGUAUGUGUGGUGUGUGGUGUGUGUAGGUGUGUGGUGUGUGUGGUGUGUGUGUGGUGUAUUUGGGGUGUGGUGUGUGUAGGUACGUGUGCAGGUGUAGCUCACACCCCGCCUCCCUCUAGUCCCCUCACAAGUAAGCAGGACCGUCAG
Molecule: long non-coding RNA, 1203 nt
Filed under: Equus caballus (horse)
Lineage: Eukaryota; Metazoa; Chordata; Mammalia; Perissodactyla; Equidae
Description: lncRNA (ENSECAG00000048693.1)
Source: RNAcentral